UUGAUUGCGGAUCGGAUGUGAAAUGUUAAUUACCAAUUUACCAUUUACCUGUGUGUAGAUUUGCAGAUUUACAUGUUCUGCGAGCCUGUACUCAGUGUAUAUGUGUGUGUUUACUGUUUAGCAUAUGACUUUAUGUGUAUUUAGAUUUUGGGUAGUUGAAAUUGGAAUUUUGUGUUUACAGAUUUUGAUAAGAGAAAGAAUAUUGAAAGACCAAACUUAUGUGUUGGACAAGAAGUAGAAUCUAAAAUUCAAGAUAGGUGUUGUAGGAGGAAAAAUGCAGAAAUUUUGCUUAAUAUGUUGGAGAUCUGUCAUCAUAAUUAAACAUAAUAAAAUUUCAAGCUCAUAUUCUUUCUGCUUUUUGGUAGUUAUUAUUUCAUUGAUAAGACUUACUCCAACCUAUACCAAUUAGAAGUUCAUGGAUGCUGAACUAUUUCCUUUAUUUUUCUAUUAAUUUUUUUUUCAAGUAAAUCAGGCUGCAGCCCAUUUCAUAAAAACAAAACAAAAUGUCAUUACAAAUGAUUGAGUCAGGCCCAAAGGUGACCUGAGCCGGAUCCAAAAAAGACCAGCCAUCAAACAAAUAUCCAAAUGUUCAGAUCAUUAGGUCAUUUUGGAAAGUGAGGUCCUUUCUCUUGUUGCCUUUUCAUGCUCUCCGGCUAUAUGUGUAAACUUCAGAGCUUUUCUCCGUCGAUGUAGUUUUCAUGGUGUCCCGAAACCAUUCUCUGUUUCUCCACCACUCAAGCUAAGUUUCAAAAUUUAAUCAUUCUUUUUCUUUUUCCUAGCUCGAUGGAUUGAGCUUCUUUAGAAACUAAUACCACCAGCCCUACUAGAAAAUAAUGUUUAGUAGAUAAAGAUUUGAGUACUUUGUUAGUGUAAAAAUAAAAUUGCUAAUCAUUAUGGGAUUUAUUGCAGAUCCAAUGCAACUGGUGUUUGAGUAUUCAACCCGUUACAACCAAAAUUCUCACUGGAUGCUGAACUAUUUGAAGCCUACUUUUCGGAUAAAUGUUUCCUAGUUAUACUAUUUAAUGCAUGAUGAACCAUAUAUAUCGUAAUCCAAAUACGGGCAGGAAAAUCCUAUUUGAUGCAUGAUGAACCAAAUACUAUUUAAAGAUCAUCCUAUUUUUCAAAUAUUAUGCCGUAAUUUUAAAAUCCUAUUGUCAUUAACUUAUUCUUAUAGCAGUAAUUUCCCUUUCUUUAAUUUAGGUUUCCACUUUCAACCGGUAUUAUCUAGUGUUAUUAGUGGGAAUUUGGGAAAGAAUUAGUGGAUGCUCUUGUGAGUUGUGUAUAUGCAUUCCACUCUUUGUUCCUAUAUUCUUAGUAGUCACUUGUUGUCUGGUAUCUCUCUAUUUUGAAUCAUGAAUUAUGAAAGCAAUAGGUUUUUUUUGUGUUAGAGCAAUUUAUAUGCAGUCCAAAGCAGUAUUUCCCAUGGUUUUGUUUCAAAUUCUUAAACCUAUUAUGCUGACUCUUUACAAAAGUUUAUAUGUAGUCCAAAGCAGUAGGCUCUUUAAUGAACCUACAAUGCUGGCAUACUUCAAUAAGUUAGAUUUUCAAUGUGUUCGGGGCAUUCUUGAAGUGUUUAUGUGAACAUAAUAAACACUAUUGAUUGUUUAAACGGAAUAAACUGAGGCAAUUGAAGAUUAGCAAUAAAAAGUGAGAACUUCUGUUGGGACAGUAGUGCAUUGGUAUAAUGUUCUCGACUUCUUUGGUAAUACCUGCAUUUUUUGCAGACAACUUUCCUACAUGGUUUGCAGGAUGCAUCCCAUAUACCUUCUUUCUGUAUAAACUUGUUUUCUUAUCAAAACAAAUAAGGAAGAAAAAUAAGGUAUAUCAGUUUUUCUUCAUCAAAGAAAACAAAUAAUUGUCUUAUGUUACCGGUGCGUUUGAGCUUUUGUAGCAUCUAGCCUUUGGAUGUUCUCCCCUAUUUCUAUACACAUGUAAACCACUUUCAGAAUAUAGUUACCAAUUACUCAUGCUUUGAUAUCUCAAUCUAAGCACCCAAUCAUAUCCUUUUCAACUGAUAGGAAAUCAAAUAAAUGUUGUUUGCUAAUUACGAUGUAGCUUCUUUAUGGAAAUUGUACAUUAGUUUGUGUUGUGUUGAUAAUUUUUGUUCAUAUUUCUCCAAUGUGGUUAACUGGUAUCGUCACUAUUGCAGAUAUACUAAAAUUGUACUUUUAAUCAAUGCUCUUGUUGCUUUGAGCUUUAAAAAUAUUCUGUCAUACUUUUCUUUUGGUGCACCUAUGUAGCUUCUUUUUGUAUAGACUAUGGAGGAUUGGCCAUCUUUUAGAGUGAACCUUAUUUUGUAGGUCUUUUCCUAUUUUUAGUUACUUCUGGAAUGUUUAGGUGUCGUCACAUUUUUGAAUUGGUUUCUGCCCUUUAAAAUCCAGGUGCUAAAGUCAAAAGAGCUAAGGAUAACUGAUAACUAAAUUCAUUUCCAAAGUUAGUAGUUAAUAGCUUAGAAGCUAAACACUGCUAGGACUGAUGAACAGUUAUCUGAUUCUUUCCUAUGGAGUGGUACAAAAUUUUCAGUCAAGGUAUGUCAUAAAAGUUUAAUUCUUAAAAUGGUACGAAAUCCUGAAAAAUGUCCAUGGGGGAUAAUCUGGAAAACUAUUGCUCCCUCUCAGAGUUGCCUGUCUUACAUGUAUUGCGUCCCUUGCCUAGCUUCACGAAUGUUUCAGACAGUUAAGAUAUAUGUUUCUUGGAAUUUUUUGGAGUCAAUAAAUCAUGCAAGAAAGUGUCAUCAAACAAGCCUUAAACAGUCCGCACAAUCAGUCAUCAAAUAUGGGAAAUAGUUUCUACUAGAAUGCAGUACUAAGUUGCACUUUGUGAUAGUAUCUGACUAGAGAGAAACAAUAGAUGUUUUUCUGGUAAAAAGGAGCAUCUUUUCUGGCCUUGUGUCACCAUAGAUUAUUAUACUCUUAAAAAUAGUGUUGUUAGCCAUCCAGGCUCCAAUGAGAAAGCAUAGUGUUAGUGAAACUGAUACCAAGAAUGUUUCUCCAUUGUUAUUUGAUCCUAAAACAUUUAGAGCUGUAUCUAUACUCUUGCUAUUUGAAGCCUGCAUAAUUCUUGCAACCCAAGCUCUCUUGUCAUUGUUCUCAAAGCCCAUGAGAGUGGUAUGAGGAAUAGUGAGGUAUCUAUAGAGCAUUCUUUUUCUUUCCUCGGACUGAGGAGGAUCCUUCUUUUUCUUUGAAAUAUAUUUUAUAUAUACUAAAUUAUUUCUUCUCCUGACAACUAUUUUUUUUCUUUUUUGACUGUCCCAACUUCAGAAUCAUCAAAAUGCUGUGAGAACACCAGAUAAUGCAUUCACAGCAGUGUUUGGAAAGGAGAAGCCUGGUCAGUUAGAGGCUAUGGUAGAUCAGUGACAACAAAUGAUGAGGAAAUGAACGAGCUUAAACAAAAGCAUGCUAAAGAAGUCACUUCUAUGAAGGAAAAUUAUAAGUGAAAUGAGAAAAGAAAUGUGACAGUUUUUUAGUCAAUUGGUGAAAAACAAUCUUGGAUUGAAUUUUCAAGAUAUACUAGGGAGUGACGGACCUAACAUUCCUUCACCUGAUGUGAGUAAUGCACAAGCUAUUAGAGCAAAAAUUCUUUCAAAUUCUUCUAGCUCAACUCAUGCUUUGGCUCAUGAAAAGGAUCAAUGCGGGGGGUCAAAUUUGAAUGGUGGGCGCCACAACUCAACUUGAUCUACAUUGAAGUGAAUGAUGAAGAAAUUUUGAAACAUUUUGUUAUAUGUUUACAUAAAUUUGGUUUUGUGUGGAACUUAGUACAAAUUUUUAUUAUGUUGUUUUCUACUUAGUAUGUAACCGAGCCCCCACUAUGUGGGAAUCUAUUGGGUUUGUUGUUGUUGUUGUCUACUUAGUAGGUAAAAGACAUUUUUUUUGAAAUCAAAUCUAUGCACUUCAAUUAUUUAUUAGCUAA
This is a long non-coding RNA of Capsicum annuum, 3909 nucleotides long. RefSeq lists it as uncharacterized. Lineage: Eukaryota; Viridiplantae; Streptophyta; Magnoliopsida; Solanales; Solanaceae. The record is from RefSeq and is a predicted model, not a curated record. The transcript has 2 exons.